AAGGGCCUCAGAGAAGAACCCUUCCAUGCAUUCGUCUCCUGAGGUGUUGACAGAUCCAGUACUGCCUGUGCAGUGGUCCUGACCCUGCCCACUGAGAUGUCCUGCCAGCAGAACCAGCAGCAGUGCCAGCCCCCUCCCAAGUGCCCCGCCCCCCAGUGCCCCCCCAAGUGUCCCCCAAAGUGCCCCCCAGUCUCUUCUUGCUGUAGUGUCAGCUCUGGGGGCUGCUGUGGCUCCAGCUCCGGGGUGGCGGCUGCUGUGGCUCCAGCUCCGGGGGUGGCGGCUGCUGCCUGAGCCACCACAGGCGACACAGGUCCCACCGCCACAGACACCAGAGCUCAGGCUGCUGCAGCCAGCCCUCAGGGGGCUCGGGCUGCUGUGGAGGGGGCAGCAGUCAGUCGUCUGGGGGCUGCUGCUGAAGCGGACUCUGAGCCAAGAAGAACAUACUUGGGGAUAGCCAGUGGCCAAACCCUUCCUCCUGCCCCUGCUCCAGCUCGGCCUGCUGGGUCAGCUCAAGUGGCUGCGGGGUCUGAGCGCAGCCUUGAGCUCUGGCCCAGAGGAUCCCUGUGCCCUGGUGUCCAGGAGCCAAAACCCCUCUCCUAAAAACCCAUUUCCUCAUCUCCCCCAUAUGUGUGGCUACCCUGGGAACCCAAAGCGCAGAGCCUGCACCCUUCUGUAGCGUACCUUGUUGUCAACCCAGCCCGAUGUGCAACAAUAAAACUAGAAAUCUUCA
Nyctereutes procyonoides (raccoon dog) is the source of this 730-nucleotide long non-coding RNA. RefSeq lists it as uncharacterized. The record is from RefSeq and is a predicted model, not a curated record. The transcript has 2 exons. Lineage: Eukaryota; Metazoa; Chordata; Mammalia; Carnivora; Canidae.